AUGGCAGAGACCCCCAGAUGCACCAGAAAACCGAACAAGAAAAAGAAAACAAGAGCAAAGCAGGUCCCCUGCUGUGCCCCCAGGUACAUGACCACAUGCCAGAAAGAAAAGCCAUCCAGAGCCACCUAUGCAGAUGCCCACAGAGCUUGCCAAGGAGCAGAUGCCUUGGGCAGUAAAUCAUCUACAGUUUGGUCUCUGGGGUUGUAUGACUGCCAUCAAAAAAUGCAGAGAGGAGGAGGAGACAAGGCCACUGGCAGUGAGCACUACUCUGAGCAGCACCUGGCCAGUAUCAGCUGUUUUGCAUUCAACAGGCCUUGCCUCGUCACGCCGCCAUAGCGCCACCUGCUGCCCCGGGCGGCCGGGAAAUGGAGACCGCGAUCGCCCACCUGCCGGCCUGUUGGGGCUUUUCCCCCGACCCAAGGUGGAGGCAAUGUGAUACUGAUAUUUCUAAGCUUUAUACCAACAACCUGGCAUAUGAAGCAAAGAAGCCCUGUCAGAUGAGUAUUCCUGGUCCCAUAACACACAGCAUUUUCAAAGGAGUUGUUGUGGUUUAACCCAGCAGGUGGCUCACCACCACACAGUCAUUCACUCAUGACUUAGUGCGUGUUCUGUUUUAAAUCUUUAUUGAUGAUCUGGACAAGAAGAUUUAGUGUACCCUCAGUAAGUUUGCAGAUAGCACCAAGCUGCUAAGAAGUGUCAAUCUGCCUGGGGGUAAGAAGGUCCUACAGAGGGAUCUGGACAGUGUCCAUCACUGGGAUGAAGCCAGUAGGAUGAAAUUCAACAAGACCAAGUGCCAGGUCCUGAACUUUGGCCACAACAACCCCAGGAAAUGCUACAGGCUUGAGGCAGAGUGGCUGGAAGGUUGUGCAAAAGAAAUGGACCUCGGGGUGCUGGUCAGUGCUUGGCUAAACUUGAACCAGCAGUGUGCCCAGGUAGCCAAGAAGGCCAAUGGCAUCCUGAUUGUAUCAGAAAUAGUGUUGUCAAGCAGGAGCAGGGAGGUGAAUUUCCCUUUGUACUCAGCUCUGGUGAGGCCACACCUUGGUGAUUGGACUGGAUGAUCUUGGAGGUCUUUUUUCAACCUUGGUAAUUCUAUGAUCCUGUGAUAAAUAAUACUGAUACCCAGCUAGCCCCCAGUGAAAGAGCAUGAGAUGAACUCCCAUUCCCUUCAAAACUCCUUCCACUUGAUGUCAUAUGGUAUGGAAUAUCUCUUUGGCCAGUUUAAGUCAGCUGUCCUAAUUCUGUUCCCUCCCAGCUCCUUGGGUCUUUCACUGCAAAUGGCAGUGACACUGUAAAACACUGCUUAGCAGUAACUAUAAAUAUUAGUGUGUUAUCAACACUGUUUUUCUCCAAGAACUAUAGCAGCAUACCAGGCAGUCUAAAGAAUACAAUUCCAUCCCAGCUGAAACUAAGACAGGAGUGUCUAUUUUUCUAUACCAAUGGAAGUGUCUUCCCCCUGAAACUGAGCAGCCAGCUUCACACACUACUUUUCAACUGGCAGGUGCUGAAUGGGAGAGCAGCAAGGAGACUUCACCCUGCAAGGCAGUGCUGAGCUAAUACCCUGCUGUGUCUGUGUGAAGAAGAAUGAUGUGGGGGUGUGACUCCCACACUGCAAAUACCAUCUUCUAGUUAAAGUCAAAAAUUCUGAUGACUUAAGUCUUCUGAAUUUCUCUGCUGGGACUGUGGGGCAGGAAUGAAACUUGAAAAAAAGGGAUAUGCUACCAUAGUGGAACGCCACAGUACAUUGCCACUUUUAGGGCAUUUUAAGAAGGCAGUAUAAGGCAGAUGGUAUGACAAGUAUAAAGAUCACCCUGAUCUUCUGUCAAGCCAGGUAGUUUUUGGCUUGCUGAGGUAAUUCUUGUUGUCAGAAGGGUAGCAUACUCUAGAAAGGCAAAAAUAUUGGUCUAACCAUUCUACCAGUUGGAAUGACUCCCCUGUGGUUUUCCUCACUUCUAUGACUGACUUGAUAUUUGGUUUUUCUAUACCAAAGUAGAGAGGGAAAUUUUGAGUAUGUAUUUGUAUAAGCUGUCUUUGUACCAGUGAAAUAUCAAAUAUGUUCAGGCAUAAAUGUAAUUUUUUUCUAAAACUUUAUUUAAAAUCCAUUCGAAAUAAAGCUUUAUAAGUCUCUGUACCCA
This is a long non-coding RNA of Coturnix japonica (Japanese quail), 2132 nucleotides long. Lineage: Eukaryota; Metazoa; Chordata; Aves; Galliformes; Phasianidae. The record is from Ensembl.